CGGGAGACUGGGCUGGACAGGCCCCUCGCCAACCCGGUCAGGUCCGGAAGGAAGCAGCCGUAACGAGUUUCGGUCUGGGUCGGUUCCAGUCUCCCACCU
This 99-nucleotide signal recognition particle RNA is filed under the name Alphaproteobacteria bacterium. RNAcentral describes it as "signal recognition particle sRNA small type". It matches the Rfam family "Bacterial small signal recognition particle RNA". Rfam says of the family: The signal recognition particle (SRP) is a universally conserved ribonucleoprotein involved in the co-translational targeting of proteins to membranes. Archaeal SRP consists of a 7S RNA and homologues of the eukaryotic SRP19 and SRP54 proteins. In most bacteria, the SRP consists of a 4.5S RNA and the Ffh protein (a homologue of the eukaryotic SRP54 protein). The record is from RNAcentral. Lineage: Bacteria; Pseudomonadati; Pseudomonadota; Alphaproteobacteria.